GACGAACGCUGGCGGCGUGCCUAAUACAUGCAAGUAGAACGCACAGUUUAUACCGUAGCUUGCUACACCAUAGACUGUGAGUUGCGAACGGGUGAGUAACGCGUAGGUAACCUGCCUGGUAGCGGGGGAUAACUAUUGGAAACGAUAGCUAAUACCGCAUAAUAUUGAUUAUUGCAUGAUAAUUGAUUGAAAGAUGCUAUUGCAUCACUACCAGAUGGACCUGCGUUGUAUUAGCUAGUAGGUGAGGUAACGGCUCACCUAGGCGACGAUACAUAGCCGACCUGAGAGAGUGAUCGGCCACACUGGGACUGAGACACGGCCCAGACUCCUACGGGAGGCAGCAGUAGGGAAUCUUCGGCAAUGGACGAAAGUCUGACCGAGCAACGCCGCGUGAGUGAAGAAGGUUUUCGGAUCGUAAAGCUCUGUUGUAAGAGAAGAACGGGUGUGAGAGUGGAAAGUUCACACUGUGACGGUAUCUUACCAGAAAGGGACGGCUAACUACGUG
RNAcentral lists this ribosomal RNA (505 nucleotides) under uncultured bacterium. Its description in RNAcentral is "partial 16S ribosomal RNA". It matches the Rfam family "Bacterial small subunit ribosomal RNA", at positions 28 to 507 of the family's 1533-position model. The record is from RNAcentral.